RNAcentral lists this ribosomal RNA (301 nucleotides) under uncultured bacterium. RNAcentral describes it as "partial 16S ribosomal RNA". It matches the Rfam family "Bacterial small subunit ribosomal RNA", at positions 509 to 807 of the family's 1533-position model. The record is from RNAcentral.
CAGUAGCCGCGGUAAUACGUAGGUGGCAAGCGUUGUCCGGAAUUAUUGGGCGUAAAGGGCUCGCAGGCGGUUUCUUAAGUCUGAUGUGAAAGCCCCCGGCUCAACCGGGGAGGGUCAUUGGAAACUGGGAAACAUGAGUGCAGAAGAGGAGAGUGGAAUUCCACGUGUAGCGGUGAAAUGCGUAGAGAUGUGGAGGAACAUCAGUGGCGAAGGCGACUCUCUGGUCUGUAACUGACGCUGAGGAGCGAAAGCGUGGGGAGCGAACAGGAUUAGAUACCCCAGUAGUCCCUGUCUCUUAUAC